This 495-nucleotide ribosomal RNA is filed under the name uncultured bacterium. RNAcentral describes it as "partial 16S ribosomal RNA". It matches the Rfam family "Bacterial small subunit ribosomal RNA", at positions 28 to 507 of the family's 1533-position model. The record is from RNAcentral.
GACGAACGCUGGCGGCGUGCCUAAUACAUGCAAGUAGAACGCUGAAGGAGGAGCUUGCUUCUCUGGAUGAGUUGCGAACGGGUGAGUAACGCGUAGGUAACCUGCCUGGUAGCGGGGGAUAACUAUUGGAAACGAUAGCUAAUACCGCAUAAUAGUAGAUGUUGCAUGACAUUUGCUUAAAAGGUGCAAUUGCAUCACUACCAGAUGGACCUGCGUUGUAUUAGCUAGUUGGUGGGGUAACGGCUCACCAAGGCGACGAUACAUAGCCGACCUGGGAGGGUGAUCGGCCAAACUGGGACUGAGACACGGCCCAGACUCCUACGGGAGGCAGCAGUAGGGAAACUUCGGCAAUGGACGGAAGUCUGACCGAGCAACGCCGCGUGAGUGAAGAAGGUUUUCGGAUCGUAAAGCUCUGUUGUAAGAGAAGAACGAGUGUGGGAGUGGAAAGUUCACACUGUGACGGUAUCUUACCAGAAAGGGACGGCUAACUACGUG